AAAACAAUUUUGUUAAAAUCUUUUACUGCUUAACUACAGUCAAAUUAUGUGCAUUAUGUUCAGAACGGUACGAUAUUUCCGGUAUAAAUUCCAGUACAGUUCAAGUCAAACCAUACCUUUUAAACUUAUAAUUUUAUUCUAAAACAAUUUUGUUAAAAUCUUUUACAGCUUAGCUACAGUCAAAUUAUGUGCAUUAUGUUCAGGACGGUACGACAUUUCCGGUAUAAAUUCCGGUACAGUUCAAGUCAAACCAUACCUUUUAAACUUAUAAUUUUAUUCUAAAACAAUUUUGUUAAAAUCUUUUACUGCUUAGCUACAGUCAAAUUAUGUGCAUUAUGUUCAGAACGGUACGAUAUUUCCGGUAUAAAUUCCGGUACAGUUUAAGUCAAACCAUACCUUUUAAACUUAUAAUUUUAUUCUAAAACAAUUUUGUUAAAAUCUUUUACAGCUUAGCUACAGUCAAAUUAUGUGCAUUAUGUUCAGGACGGUACGACAUUUCCGGUAUAAAUUCCGGUACAGUUCAAGUCAAACCAUACCUUUUAAACUUAUAAUUUUAUUCUAAAACAAUUUUGUUAAAAUCUUUUACAGCUUAGCUACAAUCAAAUUAUAUGCAUUAUGUUCAGGACGGUACGACAUUUCCGGUAUAAAUUCCGGUACAGUUCAAGUCAAACCAUACCUUUUAAACUUAUAAUUUUAUUCUAAAACAAUUUUGUUAAAAUCUUUUACUGCUUAGCUACAGUCAAAUUAUGUGCAUUAUGUUCAGAACGGUACGAUAUUUCCGGUAUAAAUUCCGGUACAGUUCAAGUCAAACCAUACCUUUUAAACUUAUAAUUUUAUUCUAAAACAAUUUUGUUAAAAUCUUUUACAGCUUAGCUACAGUCAAAUUAUGUGCAUUAUGUUCAGGACGGUACGACAUUUCCGGUAUAAAUUCCGGUACAGUUCAAGUCAAACAAUACCUUUUAAACUUAUAAUUUUAUUCUAAAACAAUUUUGUUAAAAUCUUUUACUGCUUAGCUACAAUCAAAUUAUGUGCAUUAUGUUCAGGACGGCCCUUAAAUAUGUUGGGCCACAAGCUAACAUUUUUAAUGGGCUUAUAAGCUACUUCAAAAAAAAAAAAAAAAAAAAUAGAAGAGGGAAAAAAUUGGGAAAAAAUAAAUCUUCUCAAUUACUCUUUGUCAUUUUUCCAAUCAAGAAUAAUUUGUUCACCAACAAUAUUCUUCUCAAU
Molecule: small RNA, 1224 nt
Filed under: Arabidopsis thaliana (thale cress)
Lineage: Eukaryota; Viridiplantae; Streptophyta; Magnoliopsida; Brassicales; Brassicaceae
Description: ATSL108830
Source: RNAcentral